UUCAGACGAUGCGUCAUGCAUAUCAAUAAGCGGAGGAAAAGAAACUAACUAGGAUUCCCUCAGUAACGGCGAGUGAAGCGGGAAGAGCUCAAAUUUGAAAUCUUCAAGGUUUUACCUUGACGAAUUGUAGUUUAAAGAAGUGUUUUUCUGUUGGAGUUUUGGUAAAAGUUCUUUGGAAUAGGACAUCAUAGAGGGUGAGAAUCCCGUAUUUGACCAUUAUUUUCAGCUGUGUGAUACACUUUCAAAGAGUCGGAUUGUUUGGGAAUGCAGUCCAAAAUGGGUGGUAAAUUUCAUCUAAAGCUAAAUAUUGGCGGGAGACCGAUAGCGAACAAGUACCGUGAGGGAAAGAUGAAAAGAACUUUGAAAAGAGAGUUAAACAGUACGUGAAAUUGUCAAAAGGGAAGCGUUUUGACACCAGUGUUGUUUUUCUCGAAAAUCAAUUAAAAAGAGUUGGAUUUUGUGUUGUAUUGACCUUAACAGCUUGCUUCACUCUUUUCCUGCUUUUUUUUAAUGCACUUUUCGUUUAACAAGUCAACAUCAGUUUCUUUUGUUGUAAAAGGGUCAUUGGAAGGUGGCUUUCUCUUCGGAGAAAGUAGUUUAUAGCCUUUGAUCUCCUGCAAUCGGAGAGACUGAGGUCUGUAGCGUAGAUCCUUCGGGGUUAGAUACAUUUGUGCUAAGCUACAGCUUUUCAUAGACAACUUGUUGACUAUGUUUAGUCUUGUAACUUACCCGCUUAUGCUAUUUUACCUACGCUUAGGAUGUUGAUAUGCAUGACUGAUAU
RNAcentral lists this ribosomal RNA (781 nucleotides) under uncultured Neocallimastigales. RNAcentral describes it as "partial large subunit ribosomal RNA". It matches the Rfam family "Eukaryotic large subunit ribosomal RNA", at positions 18 to 645 of the family's 3401-position model. The record is from RNAcentral. Lineage: Eukaryota; Fungi; Neocallimastigomycota; Neocallimastigomycetes; Neocallimastigales.